This 673-nucleotide small RNA is filed under the name Vigna angularis var. angularis. RNAcentral describes it as "Non-protein coding transcript". Lineage: Eukaryota; Viridiplantae; Streptophyta; Magnoliopsida; Fabales; Fabaceae. The record is from RNAcentral.
GCACCAAUCAUCUUUAUUCUGUGAUCAUGAAUAGGGUCAACAAAGUAACAUAAGAUUGGCUGCUUCUAUCAAAUAUUGAUGUUCUACCUAAUGGAUGGUAGACCGAUCCCCAGAAAGAAGUUGCAUUAAGAAGGAAAUGAGGACUGUAUAGACAUUAUAAAUUAUAAUGCUUUCAUAGGCAACGACAAAAAAAGAAGCACAAAGAAUUCGUCGAUGUUGGUGAGUAUAUAGACAAGUUGGAAGAAGCUAUAAGAAUUCAUUAUUUUGUAGGCCAAUCCCAGAAAAUCCAACUCAUCUGUACAUAAUAUAUGCUGUUGGCAUACCCCCUUAUUUUGGAAUUCAUGAUGGAUAAAUUGAUUAUUUGAUGUCGUCUUGUGAAUACAAAAGCUAGUAUACUGGUUCUACUUGUUGACGUUGGGAGCAACAGAAGAGAUUUUGGCACAGAAGUUUGUCUCAUUAGUCAUUGGUGUUCAAAAUAUGUACGUGAAUGUUCUGGAAAAACAUUCAAUAUAUGCAAUUCUGCAAGGAUCAUACCAAGUAUUGAAGCCUUUCACAGUUUCACUACCAUGUCCAUUAUUUUUCUGUUAUGUUAUCUGAAAUAUGCUUCCCAGCUUUAGGCUUUUAAACAUUAUUUUUUUACUAUAUAUUUUUGGAUAUGGUUAAACAGUUUUUG